This 77-nucleotide transfer RNA is filed under the name Verrucomicrobiota bacterium. Its description in RNAcentral is "Verrucomicrobia bacterium tRNA-Arg". It matches the Rfam family "tRNA". Rfam says of the family: Transfer RNA (tRNA) molecules are approximately 80 nucleotides in length. Their secondary structure includes four short double-helical elements and three loops (D, anti-codon, and T loops). Further hydrogen bonds mediate the characteristic L-shaped molecular structure. tRNAs have two regions of fundamental functional importance: the anti-codon, which is responsible for specific mRNA codon recognition, and the 3' end, to which the tRNAs corresponding amino acid is attached (by aminoacyl-tRNA synthetases). tRNAs cope with the degeneracy of the genetic code in two manners: having more than one tRNA (with a specific anti-codon) for a particular amino acid; and 'wobble' base-pairing, i.e. permitting non-standard base-pairing at the 3rd anti-codon position. The record is from RNAcentral. RNAcentral also lists the same sequence under 1 other name. Lineage: Bacteria; Pseudomonadati; Verrucomicrobiota.
GCUCUCAAGGUGCAAUCAGACUGCACGCCGGUUUGCGAAGCCGGAGGUUCGUGGUGCAAAUCCACGUGGGAGCGCCA